AGCCUAAACCACCGAGCAAUCGGUGGCAUGGUGAACAAGUCCUCUUAAGUAAAGAACCCAUCAUGUGGGGUCGCUUAAGAGGCCAUAUCAGGAAACUGGUAUGAGUGACUUCGGUCACU
RNAcentral lists this small RNA (119 nucleotides) under unclassified sequences. RNAcentral's name for it is "LOOT RNA". It matches the Rfam family "LOOT RNA". From Rfam's summary of the family: Latescibacteria, OD1/Parcubacteria, OP11, TM7. The record is from Rfam by way of RNAcentral.